CCUACGGGAGGCAGCAGUGGGGAAUAUUGCUCAAUGGGGGAAACCCUGAAGCAGCGACGCCGCGUGAGCGAUGAAGGAUUUCGGUAUGUAAAGCCCUAUCAGCAGGGGAGAAAAUGACGGUACCUGACUAAGAAGCCCCGGCUAACUACGUGCCAGCAGCCGCGGUAAUACGGAGGGGGCAAGCGUUAUCCGGAUUAACUGGGCGUAAAGGGAGCGUAGACGGCGAUGCAAGCCAGAUGUGAAAGCCCGGGGCUCAACCCCGGGACUGCAUUUGGAACUGUAUAGCUGGAGUGUCGGAGAGGCAGGCGGAAUUCCUGGUGUAGCGGUGAAAUGCGUAGAUAUUAGGAGGAACACCAGUGGCGAAGGCGGCCUGCUGGACGAUGACUGACGUUGAGGCUCGAAAGCGUGGGGAGCAAACAGGAUUAGAUACCCCUGUAGUC
Molecule: ribosomal RNA, 440 nt
Filed under: uncultured bacterium
Lineage: Bacteria
Description: partial 16S ribosomal RNA
Rfam family: Bacterial small subunit ribosomal RNA
Source: RNAcentral